UACACUCCUGCGGGAGGCAGCAGUGGGGAAUUUUGGACAAUGGGGGCAACCCUGAUCCAGCAAUGCCGCGUGAGUGAAGAAGGCCUUCGGGUUGUAAAGCUCUUUUGUCAGGGAAGAAACGGUGGUGGCGAAUAACUACUACUAAUGACGGUACCUGAAGAAUAAGCACCGGCUAACUACGUGCCAGCAGCCGCGGUAAUACGUAGGGUGCAAGCGUUAAUCGGAAUUACUGGGCGUAAAGCGUGCGCAGGCGGUUGUGUAAGUCAGAUGUGAAAUCCCCGGGCUCAACCUGGGAAUUGCAUUUGAGACUGCACGGCUAGAGUGUGUCAGAGGGGGGUAGAAUUCCACGUGUAGCAGUGAAAUGCGUAGAUAUGUGGAGGAAUACCGAUGGCGAAGGCAGACCCCUGGGAUAACACUGACGCUCAUGCACGAAAGCGUGGGGAGCAAACAGGAUUAGAAACCCUAGUAGCCC
This 472-nucleotide ribosomal RNA is filed under the name uncultured organism. RNAcentral describes it as "partial 16S ribosomal RNA". It matches the Rfam family "Bacterial small subunit ribosomal RNA", at positions 332 to 796 of the family's 1533-position model. The record is from RNAcentral.